Long non-coding RNA from Ctenocephalides felis (cat flea), 189 nucleotides. RefSeq lists it as uncharacterized. The record is from RefSeq and is a predicted model, not a curated record. The transcript is spliced from 3 exons. Lineage: Eukaryota; Metazoa; Arthropoda; Insecta; Siphonaptera; Pulicidae.
ACCAACGAUGAUUAUAUAGAAGACCCGGCUGAUAACUAUGAUAUGGGAUUCACACAAGUCAGAGAUACUGUACUCAAAAAUCUUCCAAAAGAGACAAAGCAUGCGGUUGCAGAGGCAGUUAAAAGUUGGCUGAGACAUGCCAGCGAACGGUUGAUGAGGAAUCAAUUAAAAGGAAUGCCAGUACAAGAC